Long non-coding RNA from Triplophysa dalaica, 892 nucleotides. RefSeq lists it as uncharacterized. NCBI's taxonomy places the organism in Eukaryota, Metazoa, Chordata, Actinopteri, Cypriniformes, Nemacheilidae. The transcript is spliced from 4 exons. The record is from RefSeq and is a predicted model, not a curated record.
UGUCAGUCUCGGUCAGGUGUCGAUCAAAUUCGGGAGGAUGGCGCUGCGACAUUUAUCCACGGAGGAUUUAAUCACGGAGUUAUUUCAUUUUGGGAUAGAGGUCACUGAAGAGGAGUGAAGUAAAUUCAAAGAUAAUGCAGUUGAUGGAGAAGCAGUGGACUAUGGAUUGACUGAGAGAAUUGUUUCAUACCUCUUUGAAGGAUCGUUUAAGAAGCAAGCAAAAUUCAACCGAUUUGUUCAGCAGUGGAAAGAAACCGUGACACUAACCCUCGAGCCUGUCCCGGUACAUUCAGAGAAGGCUACACCGGAAUCAAGUCAUGCAAUCCCAUCAUCAGCCUUCCCAGCAGCUUUCAUCAUUCCUAAAUUUCCCAGAGAUGUUCAGACAAAGUUGGACCAAAAACCGCCAUGCAAAAUGGAGAGAUCCGAUCACAACAAAAUCAUAAGAACAUUAUAUGAAACCAUGGCCCUGAUCAAAAUGUUUCUGACCAAUGACGACUACGUGAAAGUGUGUAAGGCCCUGAUUUUGAAAUACCCUUUCUUAAAGGACAAAGAAGGAAAUGGUUAUUUUAUUCCCUGUAUCUAUUCUCUUAUAUCGCUGUUUUGUUUUUGGAGUGGCAGUAUGAAGUUGUCAGUUGGUCAAUGAAAUGCUUCUUAAAAAUGUAUUUAAUUUUUUUAAAUGUUUUUUUUAUAUCAGACAUGACAUCCUAAACAUUGUGGCAUUUUAUUUUGGGAUGUUACAUUGUAUGGUUGUGAGAUGAAUUAUUAUUGAAUCUGUGAAUUAAACUGUUUUCCAUAUAUGGACUAAAAUAAAUGUCUAAAAUUCAGUUAGUUGUUGUUUGCCUACAUUUUCUUUCACUCCUUAAGGAAUAAAAAGGAACUUUUUUGCCACCUA